CCUACGGGAGGCAGCAGUAGGGAAUCUUCCACAAUGGGCGAAAGCCUGAUGGAGCAACGCCGCGUGGGUGAAGAAGGUCUUCGGCUCGUAAAACCCUGUUGUUAGAGAAGAAAGUGCGUGAGAGUAACUGUUCACGUUUCGACGGUAUCUAACCAGAAAGCCACGGCUAACUACGUGCCAGCAGCCGCGGUA
This 192-nucleotide ribosomal RNA is filed under the name uncultured Lactobacillus sp. RNAcentral describes it as "partial 16S ribosomal RNA". It matches the Rfam family "Bacterial small subunit ribosomal RNA", at positions 338 to 522 of the family's 1533-position model. The record is from RNAcentral. Lineage: Bacteria; Bacillati; Bacillota; Bacilli; Lactobacillales; Lactobacillaceae.